UACGGAGGGUGCGAGCGUUGUCCGGAAUCACUGGGCGUAAAGGGCGCGUAGGUGGCCGAGCAAGGUCGCGGUGAAAGCCCGGGGCUCAACCCCGGGUCGGCCGUGGCAACUACUCGGCUUGAGCACUGUAGGGGCGGGUGGAAUUCCGGGUGUAGCGGUGGAAUGCGUAGAGAUCGGGAAGAACACCUGUGGCGAAGGCGGCCCACUGGGCCGGUUCUGACGCUGAGGCGCGAAAGCGUGGGGAGCAAACAGG
Molecule: ribosomal RNA, 253 nt
Filed under: uncultured bacterium
Lineage: Bacteria
Description: partial 16S ribosomal RNA
Rfam family: Bacterial small subunit ribosomal RNA
Source: RNAcentral